GACGAACGCUGGCGGCGUGCUUAACACAUGCAAGUCGAACGAAGAGCGAUGGGAGCUUGCUUCUAUCAAUCUUAGUGGCGAACGGGUGAGUAACGCGUAAUCAACCUGCCCUUCAGAGGGGGACAACAGUUGGAAACGACUGCUAAUACCGCAUACAAUCUAAUCUCGGCAUCGAGGAUAGAUGAAAGGUGGCCUCUACAUGUAAGCUAUCACUGAAGGAGGGGAUUGCGUCUGAUUAGCUAGUUGGAGGGGUAACGGCCCACCAAGGCGAUGAUCAGUAGCCGGUCUGAGAGGAUGAACGGCCACAUUGGGACUGAGACACGGCCCAGACCCCUACGGGAGGCAGCAGUGGGGAAUCUUCCGCAAUGGACGAAAGUCUGACGGAGCAACGCCGCGUGAGUGAUGACGGCCUUCGGGUUGUAAAGCUCUGUUAAUCGGGGCGAAAGGCCUUCUUGCGAAUAGUGAGAAGGAUUGACGGUACCGGAAUAGAAAGCCACGGCUAACUACGUG
Molecule: ribosomal RNA, 510 nt
Filed under: uncultured bacterium
Lineage: Bacteria
Description: partial 16S ribosomal RNA
Rfam family: Bacterial small subunit ribosomal RNA
Source: RNAcentral